AAUAGAUACCCAGGUAGUCCACGCCGUAAACGUUGGAUACUAGGUGUGGCGUCCCGAUCAACGGAUGCCGUGCCGAAGCUAACGCAUUAAGUAUCCCGCCUGGGGAGUACGGCCGCAAGGCUAAAACUCAAAGGAAUUGACGGGUCCCCGCACAAGCGGCGGAGCAUGCGGCUUAAUUCGAUGCAACCCGAAGAACCUUACCUGGGUUUGAAAUCAUGGGAAAAGCUGUAGAAAUACAGUGUCCGUAAGGGCCCAUGACAGGUGGUGCAUGGCUGUCGUCAGCUCGUGUCGUGAGAUGUUGGGUUAAGUCCCGCAACGAGCGCAACCCUUGUCCUAUGUUGCCAGCGGUUCGGCCGGGGACUCAUAGGAGACUGCCGGGGAUAACUCGGAGGAAGGUGAGGACGACGUCAAGUCAUCAUGCCCCUUAUAUCCAGGGCUGCACGCAUGCUACAAUGGUCGGUACAACGGGCAGCGACCCCGCGAGGGUGAGCGAAUCCCACAAAGCCGGCCUCAGUUCGGAUUGGAGUCUGC
RNAcentral lists this ribosomal RNA (531 nucleotides) under uncultured bacterium. RNAcentral describes it as "bacterial SSU rRNA". It matches the Rfam family "Bacterial small subunit ribosomal RNA", at positions 777 to 1308 of the family's 1533-position model. The record is from RNAcentral.